Amblyraja radiata (thorny skate) is the source of this 1003-nucleotide long non-coding RNA. RefSeq lists it as uncharacterized. The transcript has 2 exons. The record is from RefSeq and is a predicted model, not a curated record. NCBI's taxonomy places the organism in Eukaryota, Metazoa, Chordata, Chondrichthyes, Rajiformes, Rajidae.
CUCUCAUAGUUAACAGAACAAGGUUGGCCUCAGUCUGACAGGUUUCCUUAUAUAGGUAAACAUGACUCACAUUCCCGUGGAGGGUGGCUGCUUUGAAUCUACCACUUUAACUCUAGAGAUGCCAGAGAGAGGAGCUGUGUAUAAUGCGUGACCUUGCAGAUAACCGUAGCAAUGCAGGAAGCAUGGAAUGUCCAGUCCUAACAGAUUUGGGAGCAACUUGGAUUUCGGAAAUCCGAGAUCUCUUCACUCAGUCGCAAUCUUGAUCGGAGGAGAGUGAUUUCUUCACACCUCGAUUCAAUUGGAUUUGCAGCGAACUUAAAAAAUGACUUAAAAACGAGAUCACUGUAAAAUCUUUCCAGCGAAAGAACGGAUUGGUAGAAGAGUAAAAGCAGUAAAGGUUGUGCCGUCAAAUAGCACUUUCUGUAACCUCAGGAAUGAAAGUCACGGAAACGGCAAUCCUGCCGGAACAACAGGAAAACAGCAACUGUACCACAGAAGACAGCAAAUACCACAGAAGAGACUGAUACAUAAACUAUCCGAUAUCAGAAAUAACAAGUGCUGUCACAUAGAAAAUAGAGAGUUGGAAUUAAUAGUCCUUCUCAGGUUGGAAGAUGGUAACUAGCGGAGUACCACAGGGAUCAGUUCUUGGUUCACUAUUAUUCAUUAUUGACAUUAAUGACCUGAAUGAAGGAACAGCACACAAGGUUUCCAGAUUUGCCGAAGAUAUUAGGAAUGGCUAAUUAAGUUUGAUUAGUAUGAAGUGUUGCAUUUUGGAAGUCAAACUAGGGCAGGUGAAAUGAAAAUAGGUGGAAGGGUAUAUUGUGAUAAGGAUACUAUGAUUCUGCAAUGGGAUAGAAAUAGAUCGAAUGGGCAAAAGAGUUGCAAAUAGAAUUUAACGCGGGGAAAUACGAGGUCAUGGCACUUCGGUAAGAUAAAUCAAAAGAUAGAUUGCUAUCUAAAUGUAUAGAGACUACAGGUGAGUCAAGUAUUGAGUGGAGAAAAA